This 468-nucleotide ribosomal RNA is filed under the name uncultured bacterium. RNAcentral describes it as "partial 16S ribosomal RNA". It matches the Rfam family "Bacterial small subunit ribosomal RNA", at positions 28 to 507 of the family's 1533-position model. The record is from RNAcentral.
GACGAACGCUGGCGGCGUGCUUAACACAUGCAAGUCGAACGGAAAGGCCCUGCUUUUGUGGGGUGCUCGAGUGGCGAACGGGUGAGUAACACGUGAGUAACCUGCCCUUGACUUUGGGAUAACUUCAGGAAACUGGGGCUAAUACCGGAUAGGAGCUCCUGCUGCAUGGUGGGGGUUGGAAAGUUUCGGCGGUUGGGGAUGGACUAGCGGCUUAUCAGCUUGUUGGUGGGGUAGUGGCUUACCAAGGCUUUGACGGGUAGCCGGCCUGAGAGGGUGACCGGCCACAUUGGGACUGAGAGACGGCCCAGUCUCCUACGGGAGGCAGCAGUGGGGAAUAUUGCACAAUGGGCGGAAGCCUGAUGCAGCAACGCCGCGUGCGGGAUGACGGCCUUCGGGUUGUAAACCGCUUUCGCCUGUGACGAAGCGUGAGUGACGGUAAUGGGUAAAGAAGCACCGGCUAACUACGUG